GGUGAGGCUGUCGUUAGGGCUGGCGUCCGGGUGUGAAGCUGAGGCCGCCUGAGGCGUGACCUUGGGGGGGAAUCCCGCGGAAGCGGUAGCGCCGGAGCCUGGAAGGAAAGGAACGGCCGAGCUAGGGAUGGGAACCAGGAUGGUGGUGCCUUCGCGGAAGCUUCAAGAUCUAAUCGAGGAGAUCCGUGGGGCCAAGACCCAAGCCCAGGAGCGGGAGGUGAUUCAAAAGGAGUGCGCCCACAUCCGCGCCUCCUUCCGCGAUGGGGACCCUCUGCACAGGCACCGCCAGCUGGCCAAACUGCUCUACGUCCACAUGCUGGGCUACCCCGCCCACUUUGGACAGAUGGAGUGCCUGAAACUGAUCGCCUCCCCCAGAUUCACAGACAAGAGGGUGGGCUACCUGGGGGCCAUGCUUCUACUGGAUGAGAGGCAGGAUGCCCAUCUGCUCAUUACCAACAGCAUCAAGAAUGACCUCAACCAGGGGAUUCAGGUGGUGCAAGGCCUGGCCCUGUGUACUCUGAGCACUGUGGGCUCUGCGGAGAUGUGCCGGGACCUGGCCACUGAAGUGGAAAAACUGCUCCUGCAGCCUGGCUCCUAUGUGCGCAAGAAGGCUGUUCUGACUGCCGUGCACAUGAUCCGGAAGGUCCCCGAGCUCUCCAACAUCUUCCUCCCACCCUGUGCCCAACUGCUUCACGAACGCCACCAUGGCAUCCUGCUGGGCACCAUCACGCUGAUCACGGAGCUCUGUGAACGAAGCCCUGCAGCCCUCAAGCACUUUCAAAAGGUGGUCCCCCAGCUGGUGCAGAUUCUCCGGACUCUGGUGACAACAGGAUAUUCCACAGAGCACAGCAUAUCUGGAGUCAGCGACCCCUUCCUGCAGGUCCAGAUACUUCGUCUGCUUCGGAUUCUGGGCCGGAACCAUGAAGAAAGCAGUGAUACCAUGAAUGACUUGCUGGCUCAGGUGGCCACUAACACAGACACCAGCCGAAAUGCGGGCAAUGCAGUCCUAUUUGAGACGGUGCUGACCAUCAUGGACAUCCGUUCUGCCACCGGCUUGCGGGUUCUGGCUGUCAACAUCCUUGGCCGCUUUCUGCUCAACAGUGACAAGAACAUUAGGUAUGUUGCCCUGACGUCAUUGCUGCGUAUGGUGCAGUCUGAUCACAGCGCGGUGCAGCGGCACCGGCCCACUGUGGUGGAAUGUCUACGGGAAGUCGAUGCCUCCCUUAGCCGGAGGGCCCUGGAGCUGAGUCUGGCUCUGGUGAAUAGCUCCAAUGUGCGAGCCAUGACACAAGAGCUACAGAGCUUUCUGGAAUCCUGCUCCCCUGAUCUACGGGCCGAUUGCGCCUCAGGCAUCCUGCUGGCAGCAGAGAGGUUUGCCCCAACCAAGCGGUGGCACAUAGACACCAUCCUGCGUGUGCUGACAACGGCAGGCACCCAUGUACGGGAUGAUGCGGUGGCCAACCUGACACAGCUGAUUGGGGGUGCCCAGGAGCUACAUGCCUACUCUGUGCGCCGCCUCUACAGUGCCCUGGCAGAGGACAUCUCCCAACAACCACUGGUGCAAGUGGCAGCCUGGUGCAUUGGAGAAUACGGGGACCUCCUGCUGGAGGGGAGCUGUGAGGAGACUGAGCCCCUUCAGGUGGAGGAAGAGGAUGUGCUGGACCUGUUGGAAAAGGUGCUACAGUCCCAUAUGUCCCUGCCAGCCACCCGAGGAUAUGCCCUGACUGCCCUCAUGAAGCUCAGCACCCGGCUCCGUGGGGACAACAACCGCAUCCGCCAGGUGGUGUCCAUCUAUGGGAGUUGCCUGGACAUGGAGCUGCAGCAGCGGGCCGUGGAGUAUAACACGCUCUUCCGGAAGUACGACCACAUGAGGGCUGCCAUCCUAGAAAAGAUGCCUCUUGUGGAGCGAGGUGGCACUCAGGAUGAGGAGAUAAAGGAAAGCAAAGAAGCUCAACUUUCAGAAGCCAGUCUUGUUCCCACAGAGCCACAGGCCUCUGAGCUCUUGGAUCUGCUAGAUCUCCUGGAUGGCACCUCUGGGGCUGCCCAGCCCCCACCUCCUCUGGAACCCUCCCCAGGAGAUGUUCUGGUACACCUCCUCGACCUGCCCUGUGACCUGCCCUCUGCAUCUCCACCCCCAGGUAAGCCUCAGCAAAGGGCAGAUGAAGACACCUUAAGAAAAGGAGGGGUGGAAAUGUGCUGUUCCUCCUUCUUUACCAAGGACCGAGGUCCCCAUGCCCUCUUCUGUGCUGUGAACCCCCCAUCACAACUCCAUCUUGAUAGCUUCCAUCCCAAAUCUCAGAGUGUUUGAACGUGAAGGACUACAGCUGAAUCUGUCUUUUGUUCGACCCCCUGGAACUCCUGCUUUGCUCUUAAUCACCAUCACUGCUAUCAACACCUCAGAGGCUGAUGUCAUCCAUUUCAUCUGCCAAGCUGCUGUGCCCAAGAGUUUCCAGCUGCAGCUACAGGCUCCUAGUGGGGACACAGUUCCAGCUCACAGUGGCCUUCCAGUGACCCAGCUGCUCAGAAUCCUCAAUCCUAACAAGGCUCCCUUGAGGCUAAAGUUGCGCCUUACCUACAACCACUUUGGCCAGUCGGUGCAGGAGAUCUUUGAGGUGAACAACUUGCCCAUGGAAACAUGGCAAUAACUCAGCCUCCACUCAGUCUGAAAUCCUCCUGUGUCCCAAACUCUCCAAGGUCCCAGCCACUCGGAGCCUGUACCUGAAGGCUGCCAGCAGAUGGCGCUCUGGUCCUGCACUUGCCUCUGCAAAAUCCAUGGGGGGUGGCCCCCCCGGACCUCUCACGAAUAAUGAAAGCCCAAUAAAGCCUGAGGGGGAAAGCCA
This is an RNA transcript of Canis lupus familiaris (dog), 2840 nucleotides long. It is a transcript of the gene named adaptor related protein complex 1 subunit gamma 2, with no coding region annotated. The transcript has 22 exons. The record is from RefSeq and is a predicted model, not a curated record. NCBI's taxonomy places the organism in Eukaryota, Metazoa, Chordata, Mammalia, Carnivora, Canidae.